CCUGCACAUUGUUAGAGCUUGGAGUGAGGCCACUGGCUGGCCAAUGAACUCAUGUGUAGGUAGCAUGCUACAUGAGGGUCAAGUCUUUCACUGACACCACCAGGGCCUCUGGCCCAAUGAGUGGAGUUUAAUAGCAAUUUUUGCUAAAAGU
Molecule: small nucleolar RNA, 151 nt
Organism: Mustela putorius furo (domestic ferret)
Lineage: Eukaryota; Metazoa; Chordata; Mammalia; Carnivora; Mustelidae
Source: Ensembl